RNAcentral lists this ribosomal RNA (520 nucleotides) under Xenomeris sp. RNAcentral's name for it is "eukaryotic LSU rRNA". The stretch from base 164 to 317 matches the Rfam family "5.8S ribosomal RNA". Lineage: Eukaryota; Fungi; Ascomycota; Dothideomycetes; Mycosphaerellales; Mycosphaerellaceae. The record is from RNAcentral.
CUGCGGAGGGAUCAUUACUGAGUGAGGGCCCCCCGGCCCGACCUCCAACCCUUUGUGAUACCACUAUGUUGCCUCGGGGGCGACCCGGCCUUCGGGCGCGGGGCCCCCGGUGGACCCCCCAACGCUGCAUCUUUGCGUCUGAGUACAAAUAUAAAUCAAUUAAAACUUUCAACAACGGAUCUCUUGGUUCUGGCAUCGAUGAAGAACGCAGCGAAAUGCGAUAAGUAAUGUGAAUUGCAGAAUUCAGUGAAUCAUCGAAUCUUUGAACGCACAUUGCGCCCUUUGGCAUUCCGAAGGGCAUGCCUGUCCGAGCGUCAUUACACCACUCAAGCCUGGCUUGGUAUUGGGCGUCGCGUCCCCGCGCGCGCCCUAAUGUCUCCGGCUGGACCGUCCGUCUCUAAGCGUUGUGCAUUCAUCCGCUUGCGAGGCCGGGCGGCUCCGGGCCGUUAAACACCCCCAUCAAAGGUUGACCUCGGAUCAGGUAGGGAUACCCGCUGAACUUAAGCAUAUCAAUAAGCGG